AUCUGUCUUAACUAUUAUCUGUUACCAUCUAUUAUCUAUUAAUAGCUAAUACCUUAACUAUUAUCUAUUAUUCCUUUUCAUUUUAGCUUGUCUGGUGAAGUGUUGACAAGUUUUAAUAUUUCUUAAGUAUGAAGUUAAAAAAUAGUACUUAAUAUUUACAGAUAAAGGACUUCAAAUAUGUGUAUUAUGUUGCGUAUAUGCCGUUAUAUAUAUAUGCUUGCGCAGAGGAUCAUUUUCAUUUGGCAAAUUAUGUGCAGGUAAGCAUUUUUUUGACUCAAAACUGUACAAGGUUCUGGGGCAACAAAGUAAAAUGCCCCAUGUCUGUAAGUUUUACAGCUUGGUUGGGGAGUGAGACAAGAGCGGAUUAAUUUGAACACAGAAAGUGCUCUGCUGGGUGCUGUGGGGACGUCAGGACUUCAGGGGAUGUUUCCUGGAUGAGACCACAUCCAAGCUGGGUCUUCUAGGGUUGUUGAAGGUUUUCUUUUUUUGUUUCAUUUCUGUGCUGACAUUUUGAAUGUUCAAGUUCCGGCGUGAAGUUUAAUUUCUGCAAAGUCCUGGCUGAAUGCUGUGCUGAACAGAUGGCUGUGUGGGUGCAGAAUGGUAUGAAGUGUGUCGUCGACCCUUGUGAUUGCAUGGCUGCCCGGGAGCUGAAGCCGCUGCUGUCAUCCGGCAUCAUGAGAAUGUACCUCGUAUUGCUGGCCUGGGAAAAGAUCCAAAUUCAAAAUUCGAAGUACAGUUUCUACUGAAUGUGUGUUGUUUUUGCACCCCUGUAAAGUCAAAAAAUCAUUUAAGUUGAACCAUCAUCAGCCGGGACUGUAUUUCCAUCACUCGUGGUGGGGUCCCUGCCUUUUCCCCCCGUGUACUGCCACCACUCGGCCCCUCUUGCCCUCGUCCCCUCAUCAUACAGUUUCCACCUGACUCUGCCUUCACAUGGGUCCUGAUGCUGGCCUCGGAUGCUUAUUUCUCUGCUUUCCUGAAAGCUGAACUUCUGUCUGUGUCUCCCACUUACACUGCAGGUAUGCGUUAUAGGGAACUUACUUGGUUCUCCUUGUCUGUAUGGUCUUGGGAAGAUUAUGAAAGAGCUUCAGAUUUAGGUAGCUGCCAAUAUUUCUUGGAAAACCAGAAGCCCAGCUACCUCCCCUUAAAUAUGAACGCACAAGAAUUAUGACAUCUGAGCAAAACUUACAACGUGAAAGAGAAAAAUUAAACACAAAGUAAGGUUAAAUACUGUAUCUAUUAAAUAGAACAGGUUAUUGUAUCCUACACACACACACAUUAAGAGAAGAAAAGAGAGCUCUUGGAAAUUAACACCAAACCCUCAGUUGGUGUAACUGGAAAAGAGAUGUAAAACAAGUAAAGGACAAAGACACACGGUAACUAAGAGCAAUAUGCACAAACCAGUCGAUGCCCUGUCUGGACAACAGAAGUUCCAGAAAGAGCAAGACAACGGAGAGGAGAAAUAAUCUCAUAGUUUAAGAAAACAUCCUCAAAUGUGGGGCGUGAAGGUACAGUCUGCGUGCCUGCUACACUGGCUGAGAAAGAGGAUCGUGCUAAAGCAUGCUGUAACACUACAGAGACCCGGGGGCGAAGAAUCAUUCCAGGAGCUUCCACAGAGGACAAGCAGGCUACAUAUAAAGAGUGAGGAGUAGGAACGGCCUCGGAUUUCUCUGCAACCACACUGGAACCUAAAACCAGUGAGGCAAUGCCUUCAAAACGCUGAAGGAAAAUGAUUUCCCAACUUGAAUGGUAAGCUCCAUUCUAGUUACCAACGAAGCGUGAGGGCAAAAUAAAGACACUGGUCUUGGGAAAUUUACCACCCACAUACUCUUUUUCCCAGGAAGACAUGUGAAGGACAUGCUCUACCAGACCGAGGAAAUCAGCCGAGAAAGGGGAAGAUAAGGGAUCCAGGAAACAGGAGACCCAACAGAGAGUGGUGGAGGGGGUCUCCAGAACAAUGGGCAAAGGAGACCUCAGGAAGACGGCUGUCUACCAGGCAGAGAGGACACCCGCUCUGGACUGCUGCAGGUUAGAAGCCACAGGAAAAGUAUGAAAAAUCAGGACAUCAGGAUAAAAGCAAAAACUGUGGAAGAAAAGUCGUCACAAUUUCCUCCGUGUAAACCAUGCUCUGAAUAUCACCAGUAGUCUUGACUAUCAACCUGAUCUAGGUUACGACAGAAUUACAAAAGGAAGAUGGGGGGGUAUGGAGGCGUGCUGUACAUGUUUGGCGGGGAUGGUGAGGGAGGCCGGACAGGAACCUACAUUUUUAUCUUUCAUGUGGGGAACCGGUCAGUACAUAAGGUCUCACACUGAAGAUCCAACAUGGAGCAAUGGGCUUAUGUUACUUAGACCUCUUCUGGCCACUAAUUAAACCCAAAGAGUCAUGUUAAGAGUUAAAUUCUCAGAUGAAGAACAGGAGGGGCUGUUUUCCUUAAAAACCCUUACAGAACAAGUUGACUUGGCUACAUGUACAUGUAUAGCUUUGACUAUGAAAACAGGGGCGCCUGGACAGCUCAGUCAGUACAGCAUGUCACUUUUGAUCUUGGGGUUGGGAGUUUGAGCCCCACGCUGGGUGCAGAGAUUACUUAAAAAAUAAUUUUUAAAAAGUUACACAAGGAAAGGAAAGCCGAUGCUCACUACCGCUUACUAGCUCCGUGACUGUGAGCCAAUCACUGCGCUAUCCUGUUGCAAUUCUAAACGGAGAUGAGGUUUGCUUGGCCUACUCUGCUGGUUAUGAGGGAAAAAAAUGUAGAGGGAUUUUAUGGAACUCGAUAAUAACAGUAAUUAACUUUGGCAGGACAGGUCCUAAUCCCAAUGAAAAGACCUGAUCCAGUAACGCCCUAUCUAAUAAACUUUACACCUUGUUUAGAGUUAAAAGAUCACCCGUUCGAUAGAAGGCGCUUUGGCUGCUGGCAGCUGUUAGGGCUCCACCUGUCUUGGGAAGUGGUUUCUUCUUGUUUUCUCCUUACAAAACUUUUUCCAGCUCGUGAGGCCAGGCCCUUCACGAACAUCACUGGUCCAAUGGUUUAUCCUUGGGCACUUGCCCUAUUUCAAGUGAAAUUUACUUGCUGGUGGAUCAGGAAAAGAAUAUGCAUUAAAACCAACAGCAGAAUUUGGGGAACAGAUUCCUGACUUCAGAUGUGGUAGUGGAGACUGGGCAUUUACUCCUGAGUGGUUAUAAACUAACAGAGAAACUCCAGUCUACAAGUCCAUUAUUAAAUGUACGGUACAAAUACUGACCAUCGGAGUCUACAGCCACAGUGGAGCGCUCCAUCCUUGGGCCAUGUGCACCUUGGGAAAUAAUCUGUACUUCAUUAGGUCUCACACAGCUCUGCAGGUCCGGAGCUACUGUGUUUAUUUUCAGAUGAAGAAGUCCCCAGCGGUCACAUAAUUAAGUUCCUGGGCCAGAACUGAAGAGAGAUUUGUCAGUCCUGUGCUCUUUUCACAACACUACCUAAUUUAAUCAGUCUUCGUCUCAGACUCAUCUGCCCUCUCCUUUCAUCCACCCAGCUUUAUUUCAGUACAGUUAUCCAAAUGCCCCAAGAGAGGCUGGAAAAUAAUGAGAACACCACACUAAAAGUUUCUUAGAUAAGAGAUAAUGGAACGUGUCUAUUGAUCUCACACGACAAGAGCUCUUAUAUUUUAGUCCAUGACCACACAAAGUAAACUUUUGUGCACACAUAGAUAGGACACCUGUGACAAUUAUAGAUCUAUGCCUGAUGCCCCUUCUUGUUUGUUGCAGAGUGGGUGAUACAGAUAUACUCAGCAGCCCUGGUGUUAGGGUAGUUUUAAAAAUUCUGUUGAAAGGGCAAGAAUCCAAUUGUUGAGAAUCCAAACGGAGAGCUCAUGGAUCCCAUGGACAGGCCAAUCACCCCCAGGACGUCUCUAGGAUUCUUAGACUCCUGUGUUUACUGUUGUCUCUCUUUCCCUCGUUAUCAUUUAUAAUAAAAAGUCAUCCCAGACAUUCUGGACUGAGCCAGAGAUGUGUGAUAGAAAAGCACAUUAUCUGAUAGAAGGGCCCAAUAAGACUGUCCGUGUAGGAUAAAAGAUUUAAAAACCGAAAGAAAAAAAAAAAAGACAGCUGGAAAUAACAACCAUAAUUUUUCAAGAACAUUUAUACAUCUUUUUAAUUAGAUUAGCUUUACAAGCAACUUGAGAGCUCUUUCGUAACGGAACACUGCUUUUCAAAUUACAUGACUUUCCCGUCUAUCUGUAUAUGAAUCCUGAAAUUCUUUGCCUGCUGUUGAUAAAGGUCUGUGUUUUACAGCCGGUUAAUGUAUUCAAUGAAAAACAGCAUUAGAAGCUUUGUCUUUAACUAGGAUUAAACAUAUAUAGGCCACAAGUAGUUUUAAAUUUUGUUUUAAACAGAGUCCUGUUUGGUGACAAGUUAACGGUCCCGCUAACAUGAAACGAACAGGUUUUAAAUGGAUAUUAAAGAAAUGGCUCUCCUGGAUUCCUUGAUCCUUUCACAAUGAUCUCCAAGGAAUUAGAUAAAAUUUUCCGAAAAGUACAAAUGUUAAGACCUGCCUGGAAAGCACAACCCACAUAGAGUAGAAUCUGACACUUUGCACAACUGCAGAGACACACAUGUGAAUGACACAGGGGCUCCCACCCUGACAAUCACACAACCCCCCCCUCCCCCCAUCAACAGAACAGUCUCCACUAGACCUAAACAUGACAGUGUUUCUGAGUCAAGGCCGAGUGCAGUGUGCCGCACGCAGACCAGAUGGCAAAGACAGCUUGCUCUCCCAGGUCCGGCUGGCAGAGGCACUUACUAGAGAGAUGUUACAUUGCAUUAUCUGGAACAGAGAGAGGAAGUGGAACAAAACUGAACACGGGCAAGGAAAAACAACCAUAAGCUCUAAUUUUCUCCAAGUUCUAAGUGAGAUCACGAUACUGAAUAUUUAACCCCACCCUAAGUCCACACUGUUGGUCUCACUAGAUUUUUUUUUCAUGUUUUACAUGAAUAGCAAUCUUUUAAUAAAAAUUACUGAGCUUUCCAUAGAAAAGGUCUCUAAUUGAAUACAAACUAUACAGAUACUAAAACCGUCAUAAGUUGAAAUAUACAGAAAUAUUUCUGUACACACAUUUUGGCAAAGAUUAAGGACAGAGAUAGAAAACUGAAGUGGGCAAGGUCUAGACCCUAAUUCACGUUAAAUACGGAUACCACCCUCUGGGCUCUGCUAAAGACUCGCCCAGGAAAAUGAAGUCUAAUGUAUCCAUCCCAGUUCAUAUAUCAAAAAACAGAAGUCUGGGAGGCCUUGUGUGAUACUGUAAUAUUCCCUCUUCUUCUGAAAAGUAAAAGAAAAAUCAUAAAACAGAAAAAAUCAUCUGGUUUUCCACUUCUUUUGUUUUUUUAAGCUAAACACACACCUUCCAGUACUGACAAGGAGGCGAGUAUCACGCCUAGGGAAUACCUGCCUCAGCACUGGUCUGCACUACCUCGGCUCAGCCCUGGCGCUCUGUCCGCCCGCCCCCGCCCCCGCCCCGACGCCAUCCAACAGAAGCAAGGUUCUGAUCUGCACAUCACAUGGGUCGCAGGAGGAGGAAAACAUAACAGCAAAAUCGGAAGUACGACUGACUGGCUGGGAAGGAGAGCUCUUAGGAAGGGGACGUUACCUUCUACAUCUACAGAAUAUACCUGAAAGCGUGAGAAAGCCCUUUAUCUCGGGAACUUGAUGCGGAGGGCAGAUCAAGUUCAUUUAGUGCCAGUCACUUAAGUCUUGUAAAAAUUCUAACUUAAAAAAUAAAGCCUUCUGGGUAUUUUUUCUUA
Long non-coding RNA from Felis catus (domestic cat), 5770 nucleotides. RefSeq lists it as uncharacterized. The transcript has 3 exons. The record is from RefSeq and is a predicted model, not a curated record. Lineage: Eukaryota; Metazoa; Chordata; Mammalia; Carnivora; Felidae.